UUAAGCGACUAAGCGUACACGGUGGAUGCCCUGGCAGUCAGAGGCGAUGAAGGACGUGCUAAUCUGCGAUAAGCGUCGGUAAGGUGAUAUGAACCGUUAUAACCGGCGAUUUCCGAAUGGGGAAACCCAGUGUGAUUCGUCACACUAUCAUUAACUGAAUCCAUAGGUUAAUGAGGCGAACCGGGGGAACUGAAACAUCUAAGUACCCCGAGGAAAAGAAAUCAACCGAGAUUCCCCCAGUAGCGGCGAGCGAACGGGGAGGAGCCCAGAGCCUGAAUCAGUGUGUGUGUUAGUGGAAGCGUCUGGAAAGGCGCGCGAUACAGGGUGACAGCCCCGUACACAAAAAUGCACAUGCUGUGAGCUCGAUGAGUAGGGCGGGACACGUGGUAUCCUGUCUGAAUAUGGGGGGACCAUCCUCCAAGGCUAAAUACUCCUGACUGACCGAUAGUGAACCAGUACCGUGAGGGAAAGGCGAAAAGAACCCCGGCGAGGGGAGUGAAAAAGAACCUGAAACCGUGUACGUACAAGCAGUGGGAGCCUCUUUAUGGGGUGACUGCGUACCUUUUGUAUAAUGGGUCAGCGACUUAUAUUCUGUAGCAAGGUUAACCGAAUAGGGGAGCCGAAGGGAAACCGAGUCUUAACUGGGCGUUAAGUUGCAGGGUAUAGACCCGAAACCCGGUGAUCUAGCCAUGGGCAGGUUGAAGGUUGGGUAACACUAACUGGAGGACCGAACCGACUAAUGUUGAAAAAUUAGCGGAUGACUUGUGGCUGGGGGUGAAAGGCCAAUCAAACCGGGAGAUAGCUGGUUCUCCCCGAAAGCUAUUUAGGUAGCGCCUCGUGAAUUCAUCUCCGGGGGUAGAGCACUGUUUCGGCAAGGGGGUCAUCCCGACUUACCAACCCGAUGCAAACUGCGAAUACCGGAGAAUGUUAUCACGGGAGACACACGGCGGGUGCUAACGUCCGUCGUGAAGAGGGAAACAACCCAGACCGCCAGCUAAGGUCCCAAAGUCAUGGUUAAGUGGGAAACGAUGUGGGAAGGCCCAGACAGCCAGGAUGUUGGCUUAGAAGCAGCCAUCAUUUAAAGAAAGCGUAAUAGCUCACUGGUCGAGUCGGCCUGCGCGGAAGAUGUAACGGGGCUAAACCAUGCACCGAAGCUGCGGCAGCGACACUAUGUGUUGUUGGGUAGGGGAGCGUUCUGUAAGCCUGUGAAGGUGUGCUGUGAGGCAUGCUGGAGGUAUCAGAAGUGCGAAUGCUGACAUAAGUAACGAUAAAGCGGGUGAAAAGCCCGCUCGCCGGAAGACCAAGGGUUCCUGUCCAACGUUAAUCGGGGCAGGGUGAGUCGACCCCUAAGGCGAGGCCGAAAGGCGUAGUCGAUGGGAAACAGGUUAAUAUUCCUGUACUUGGUGUUACUGCGAAGGGGGGACGGAGAAGGCUAUGUUGGCCGGGCGACGGUUGUCCCGGUUUAAGCGUGUAGGCUGGUUUUCCAGGCAAAUCCGGAAAAUCAAGGCUGAGGCGUGAUGACGAGGCACUACGGUGCUGAAGCAACAAAUGCCCUGCUUCCAGGAAAAGCCUCUAAGCAUCAGGUAACAUCAAAUCGUACCCCAAACCGACACAGGUGGUCAGGUAGAGAAUACCAAGGCGCUUGAGAGAACUCGGGUGAAGGAACUAGGCAAAAUGGUGCCGUAACUUCGGGAGAAGGCACGCUGAUAUGUAGGUGAAGUCCCUCGCGGAUGGAGCUGAAAUCAGUCGAAGAUACCAGCUGGCUGCAACUGUUUAUUAAAAACACAGCACUGUGCAAACACGAAAGUGGACGUAUACGGUGUGACGCCUGCCCGGUGCCGGAAGGUUAAUUGAUGGGGUCAGCGCAAGCGAAGCUCUUGAUCGAAGCCCCGGUAAACGGCGGCCGUAACUAUAACGGUCCUAAGGUAGCGAAAUUCCUUGUCGGGUAAGUUCCGACCUGCACGAAUGGCGUAAUGAUGGCCAGGCUGUCUCCACCCGAGACUCAGUGAAAUUGAACUCGCUGUGAAGAUGCAGUGUACCCGCGGCAAGACGGAAAGACCCCGUGAACCUUUACUAUAGCUUGACACUGAACAUUGAGCCUUGAUGUGUAGGAUAGGUGGGAGGCUUUGAAGUGUGGACGCCAGUCUGCAUGGAGCCGACCUUGAAAUACCACCCUUUAAUGUUUGAUGUUCUAACGUUGACCCGUAAUCCGGGUUGCGGACAGUGUCUGGUGGGUAGUUUGACUGGGGCGGUCUCCUCCUAAAGAGUAACGGAGGAGCACGAAGGUUGGCUAAUCCUGGUCGGACAUCAGGAGGUUAGUGCAAUGGCAUAAGCCAGCUUGACUGCGAGCGUGACGGCGCGAGCAGGUGCGAAAGCAGGUCAUAGUGAUCCGGUGGUUCUGAAUGGAAGGGCCAUCGCUCAACGGAUAAAAGGUACUCCGGGGAUAACAGGCUGAUACCGCCCAAGAGUUCAUAUCGACGGCGGUGUUUGGCACCUCGAUGUCGGCUCAUCACAUCCUGGGGCUGAAGUAGGUCCCAAGGGUAUGGCUGUUCGCCAUUUAAAGUGGUACGCGAGCUGGGUUUAGAACGUCGUGAGACAGUUCGGUCCCUAUCUGCCGUGGGCGCUGGAGAACUGAGGGGGGCUGCUCCUAGUACGAGAGGACCGGAGUGGACGCAUCACUGGUGUUCGGGUUGUCAUGCCAAUGGCACUGCCCGGUAGCUAAAUGCGGAAGAGAUAAGUGCUGAAAGCAUCUAAGCACGAAACUUGCCCCGAGAUGAGUUCUCCCUGACUCCUUGAGAGUCCUGAAGGAACGUUGAAGACGACGACGU
Molecule: ribosomal RNA, 2828 nt
Filed under: Escherichia coli
Lineage: Bacteria; Pseudomonadati; Pseudomonadota; Gammaproteobacteria; Enterobacterales; Enterobacteriaceae
Description: bacterial LSU rRNA
Rfam family: Bacterial large subunit ribosomal RNA
Source: RNAcentral